RNAcentral lists this ribosomal RNA (801 nucleotides) under Triticum aestivum (bread wheat). RNAcentral describes it as "partial small subunit ribosomal RNA". Lineage: Eukaryota; Viridiplantae; Streptophyta; Magnoliopsida; Poales; Poaceae. The record is from RNAcentral.
AUGGGCACCUUAGCCGCGGCGAUUCCCGCGACGACGACGGCGUCCAGGCACGCCGGCGGAAGACGACACCGCCGCCGCGGCUCCGUCGCCGUGCGCUGCUCGUCCGCGGCCGACGAGCGGCAGGCCCUCUUCAGCCGCAUCGCCCCCGUCUACGACCAUCUCAACGACGUGCUCAGCCUGGGGCAGCACCGGACGUGGAAGCGCAUCUGCGUCUCUUGGUCAAUGGCGAAGAGAGGGGAUCGGGUUCUUGAUCUCUGCUGCGGGAGCGGCGAUUUGGCGUUCCUUCUGUCUCAGAAGGUCGGCCUAGACGGAGAGGUGAUGGGUGUGGAUUUCUCAGGGCAGCAGCUGCAAACUGCUGCUAGCCGUCAGGACCAACGCUGGAAGGCUUGCUACAAGAACAUCAAAUGGAUCGAGGGCGAUGCACUUGAUUUACCUUUCACGGACCGUUACUUUGAUGCUGUUACGGUUGGCUAUGGAUUGCGCAAUGUGGUUGACAGACCCAAAGCAAUGCGAGAGAUCCUUAGAGUCCUAAAACCAGGAUCACGAGCAUCUGUUCUGGAUUUUAACAAGAGCUCAUCAUUUUUCACGGCAUCCUUACAGAGUUGGGCGAUUGAUAAUGUCGUGGUUCCUCUGGCUAGUAGCUAUGGACUUACUGAAGAGUACAAGUACUUGAAAAGUUCGAUAUCACAGUAUCUUACAGGAGAGGAGUUGGAGAAGUUAGCCAAGGAAGCAGGGUUUUCCUCAGCCAAGCACUAUGAACUUGGUGGAGGGCUCAUGGGAAACCUAGUAGCAACGCGCUGA